GAGAAAGCACUUAAGGAUGCUUGCUUGGGAGUGGAGAGGGGAGGACGAAUAUCUAAUGGAUUUUUUAUUGCUCGUCAGCCUUUUAGACUUCUGUGCCCCUGCUCCCCCCACUGCAUUCAGAUAUUAAUGGUCCUUUCCUUCCCCCCCCACCUUUCCUCCCAGAUGCUAUUGCUAAAAUUUGCUUGCUUUUAUUUCUGAAAUGUUCAACAGUUUGCUCUGCUCUGACUUCCUCUUAUCCUCCCCCACUCUUCAUUUCCUUGCUGACUCUGCUCUUUUGUUGCUGGAGAAUGAGAAUAAAAACCAGGAGCUUCAAGAAGGAAUUUCAAUAGUGUGAAUUUCGCUCGACUACAAAUGGACAAGGGAGACUCCUUGCUCGCCCCGUCUGCCUGCUGUAAGCACACAAACCCGNCCUUGCAGCCGGCGAAGUCCUUCUCUCAGCCAAGCAUUCGCCCGCCGAGAACUCGAGAACAAAGCGAAGCUCCUACUUCUGUUUCUACCGGAGNCUUUGAACUGACUGCCGAAGCAGCCGCCCACCGCCACAGCUGGUGUGGAAGCAGGCCUGUAGCCACCCCCCACCAUUUUUUGCCCUCCCCCAGAAAGCUUGUCCUGNGUAUUUUUUUCUAUUAUACUAAUGUAGAAUGGUUACAGAAAAAAUGUGACAUAUUACUCAUUCANCCCCAAAUUUGUGACAGCCCACUCCAGAUAUGGAGCUGGCUACGGGCCU
This 724-nucleotide long non-coding RNA is filed under the name Salvator merianae (Argentine black and white tegu). RNAcentral's name for it is "lncRNA (ENSSMRG00000020168.1)". Lineage: Eukaryota; Metazoa; Chordata; Lepidosauria; Squamata; Teiidae. The record is from RNAcentral.